Molecule: transfer RNA, 69 nt
Filed under: Dipodomys ordii (Ord's kangaroo rat)
Lineage: Eukaryota; Metazoa; Chordata; Mammalia; Rodentia; Heteromyidae
Rfam family: tRNA
About the family: Transfer RNA (tRNA) molecules are approximately 80 nucleotides in length. Their secondary structure includes four short double-helical elements and three loops (D, anti-codon, and T loops). Further hydrogen bonds mediate the characteristic L-shaped molecular structure. tRNAs have two regions of fundamental functional importance: the anti-codon, which is responsible for specific mRNA codon recognition, and the 3' end, to which the tRNAs corresponding amino acid is attached (by aminoacyl-tRNA synthetases). tRNAs cope with the degeneracy of the genetic code in two manners: having more than one tRNA (with a specific anti-codon) for a particular amino acid; and 'wobble' base-pairing, i.e. permitting non-standard base-pairing at the 3rd anti-codon position.
Source: Rfam by way of RNAcentral
GAAGGUGUAGCUCAGUGGUAGAGCAUGUGCUUAAUGUGCACAAGGACCUGGGUUAAUUCCACAAUUCCA